RNAcentral lists this ribosomal RNA (403 nucleotides) under uncultured bacterium. Its description in RNAcentral is "partial 16S ribosomal RNA". It matches the Rfam family "Bacterial small subunit ribosomal RNA", at positions 30 to 526 of the family's 1533-position model. The record is from RNAcentral.
AUUGAACGCUGGCGGCAGGCCUAACACAUGCAAGUCGAGCGAGCGGCGGACGGGUGAGUACUGUAUGGGGACUGCCCGCUAGAGGGGGAUAACUACGGGAAACGGUGGCUAAUCCCGCAUACUGUCGGGUACUCCAUAUGGGAUUAGCAAGUAGGUAAGGUAAUGGCUUACCUAGGCGACGAUCCCUAGCUGGUCUGAGAGGAUGAUCAGCCACACUGGGACUGAGACACGGCCCAGACUCCUACGGAGGCAGCAGUGGGGAAUAUUGCACAAUGGGCGCAAGCCUGAUGCAGCCAUGCCGCGUGUAUGAAGAAGGCCCUAGGGUUGUAAAGUACUUUCAGUCGGGAGGCGUUACCGACAGAAGAAGCACCGGCUAACUCCGUGCCAGCAGCCGCGGUAAUUC